AACGAACGCUGGCGGCAUGUCUAACACAUGCAAGUCGAACGAGACCUUCGGGUCUAGUGGCGCACGGGUGCGUAACGCGUGGGAACCUGCCCUUAGGUUCGGAAUAACUCCCCGAAAGGGGUGCUAAUACCGGAUAAUGUCUUCGGACCAAAGAUUUAUCGCCUUUGGAUGGGCCCGCGUUGGAUUAGCUAGUUGGUAGGGUAAAAGCCUACCAAGGCGACGAUCUAUAGCUGGUCUGAGAGGAUGAUCAGCCACACUGGGACUGAGACACGGCCCAGACCCCUACGGGAGGCAGCAGUGGGGAAUAUUGGACAAUGGGCGAAAGCCUGAUCCAGCAAUGCCGCGUGAGUGAUGAAGGCCUUAGGGUUGUAAAGCUCUUUUACCCGGGAUGAUAAUGACAGUACCGGGAGAAUAAGCUCCGGCUAACUCCGU
RNAcentral lists this ribosomal RNA (432 nucleotides) under uncultured bacterium. RNAcentral's name for it is "partial 16S ribosomal RNA". It matches the Rfam family "Bacterial small subunit ribosomal RNA", at positions 29 to 506 of the family's 1533-position model. The record is from RNAcentral.